This 267-nucleotide long non-coding RNA is filed under the name Elaeis guineensis (African oil palm). Its description in RNAcentral is "long non-coding RNA (EGUI_LNC033681)". Lineage: Eukaryota; Viridiplantae; Streptophyta; Magnoliopsida; Arecales; Arecaceae. The record is from RNAcentral.
CCACAAAAUAGAGAACUCCAAGAGACAGAAGUGUUAGAAUUUCAUGUCAAGACAUGCAUGUAUGUUUUAAAAUUUUUUUUUCUAAACAAUAUAGUGGAAUAGAAAAUUAAAAUAUCUUCUAAUCUAAAUCAUGCAUGCAUAAAACAUAAAAUACAAAUAUAUACUUUAUAUGCUGAAAUUGAACACAUGCUAAAUUUUAUGUUGAAAUUAAAUAUGUAAUCGAAUCAUAUAUCUGUUUUAUAAUUUUUUUCUUCGAAUCUAGAUCCA